This is a transfer RNA of 88 nucleotides. It matches the Rfam family "tRNA". Rfam says of the family: Transfer RNA (tRNA) molecules are approximately 80 nucleotides in length. Their secondary structure includes four short double-helical elements and three loops (D, anti-codon, and T loops). The record is from Rfam.
GGCAACAUGGCCGAGUGGUCUAAGGCGCUGGAAUCAGGUGUGCUCCAUCCAGUCCGAAAGGGCGCGAGUUCGAAUCUCGCUGUUGUCA